UGGGGGUCCUCCACGGGGUCGCGACCUCGAGGUCCUCCAAGAGGUCCUCCAAGGAGUCCUCCAAGGGGUCACGACCCCGGGGUCCUCCGCGGGGUCACGACCUCCACGCGGCGCCACGCCCCCAGCCCCCCUCCGUGGGUUCCCCCGUGGUGCCCCCCACCCCUCCGCCUUCCCCCCCGUGGUGGGGGAUGGGGGGGGGACCNNNNNNNNNNNNNNNNNNNNNNNNNNNNNNNNNNNNNNNNNNNNNNNNNNNNNNNNNNNNNNNNNNNNNNNNNNNNNNGAGGAGGGGCGCAGGACCCCCCCAGACCCCCCAGCCCGCGGACAAAUACCUCAGAGUCGUGCGCUCAACCAAAGAGCCGCCCACCCCGGGGGGCCCCGUCCCGCCGCGCCCCCACCCCACUCUUCUCGGGGACCCCCAUUUCUGGGGGGGCGACCCCAAAUCCCUCCCCUCCCCCCUCCCCGCCCCCCCACCCAGUGACGUUCCCGCUGUGUUCCCCCAUUCCUGGUGCAUCCCCGCUCCCCAGGCUUGGGGGGCUUCUGUGGGGUGGGGGGCUUCGAGUGCUGGGGGCUCCGUGUUCUCGGGGUCUCCGUGUCUUUGGGGUCCCCACGGCCUUGGGGUCUUCGUGUCUUCUUUGGGGUCUCCGUGUUCUUGGGGUCUCCGUGAAUUUUGGGGUCUCCGUGCCCUUGGGGUCUUCGUGUCUUCUUUGGGGUCUCCAUGUCUCUGGGGACUCCAUGUCUUCUUUGGGGUCUCCAUGUUCUUGGGGGUCUUCAUGUCUUUGGGGUCUCCAUGUCUUUGGGGUCCCCAUGACUUUUGGGGACUUCACGUCUUUGGGGUCUCCAUGUUCUCAUUUGGGGUCUCCAUGAGUUUGGGCCUCCAUGUUCUUUGGGGUCUCCACCUUUUUGGGGUCUCCAUGACCUGUGGGUCCUCAUGGAUUCUUGGGGUCUCCAUGACUUUGGGGUCUCCAUGUCCUUGGGGGUCUUCAUGUAUUUUUGGGGUCUCCAGGACUUUGGGGUCUUCAUAGUUCUUGAGGUCUUCAGGUCUUUGGGAUCCCCAUAUUCUUGGGGUCUUCACAUCUUUGGGUUCCUCAUAGAUUUUUGGGGUCCCCCGACGCUCCUGGGGUCUCCGUGCCUUUGGGGUCUCCAUCUUCCAUUCCUCAGAGCACCCCCAGAUCUCAGGGACCCCCCCAGACCCCCCCCGUGUCCCCAAUUCCUGCUGUGUCCCCACAUCCCGGGGCGCCUCAACGCUUCUUGGGGGGGGGGGGUCCCCAUUUCUUCGCUGAUCCUCACUUUUGGGGGGGGUCCCCCACUUCUCGGGGGUGUCCCCCAUUAUGACCCCUCCCCCCCAGUUCUUGGUGCACCUCUAUGAUUCUUAGGGAUCUCCCCAAUUCCUGGGUAGGGACCCAAAUUUUGGGGUUCACCUCAUCUCCUGACACCCCCCCUUUCUUUGGGGUUCUCCCCAGUUCUUGGAGUGGGGGGGGGAAAGGGGGGAUUCCCAUUUUUGGGGUCUCCCCAUUUCCUGGGCUCCCCCUCCCCCUUCCCCACUGCACACACUGGGGAGGGGAAAAUAAUAAUAAAUAGAUCUGAAAAAAAAGGAAAAGGUGGGAA
This 1605-nucleotide long non-coding RNA is filed under the name Phasianus colchicus (ring-necked pheasant). RNAcentral's name for it is "lncRNA (ENSPCLG00000016417.1)". The record is from RNAcentral. Lineage: Eukaryota; Metazoa; Chordata; Aves; Galliformes; Phasianidae.